This 27-nucleotide non-coding RNA is filed under the name Cricetulus griseus (Chinese hamster). Lineage: Eukaryota; Metazoa; Chordata; Mammalia; Rodentia; Cricetidae. The record is from RNAcentral.
CUUAAGUUGUCAGACUGUAGACAUGCU